UCCCUGGUGGUGCAAUGGCUAAAGUCUCUGUACUCCCAAUGUAGGGGGUCCAGGUUCAAUCCCUGGUCAGGGAA
This 74-nucleotide transfer RNA is filed under the name Bos taurus (domestic cattle). It matches the Rfam family "tRNA". From Rfam's summary of the family: Transfer RNA (tRNA) molecules are approximately 80 nucleotides in length. Their secondary structure includes four short double-helical elements and three loops (D, anti-codon, and T loops). RNAcentral also lists the same sequence under 4 other names. Lineage: Eukaryota; Metazoa; Chordata; Mammalia; Artiodactyla; Bovidae. The record is from Rfam by way of RNAcentral.